RNAcentral lists this ribosomal RNA (282 nucleotides) under unidentified marine bacterioplankton. Its description in RNAcentral is "partial 16S ribosomal RNA". It matches the Rfam family "Bacterial small subunit ribosomal RNA", at positions 65 to 339 of the family's 1533-position model. The record is from RNAcentral. RNAcentral also lists the same sequence under 1 other name.
AGCGGGAUCCAUUCGGUGGUAACACUGAUGAAGAUCUAGCGGCGAACGGGUGAGUAACACGUGAACAACCUGCCCCGAAGUCCGGGAUAACCCGGGGAAACCCGAGCUAAUACCGGAUACCCCCUACUGAUCGCAUGGUCGGUAGAGGAAAGAUUUAUCGCUUCGGGAGGGGUUCGCGGCCUAUCAGCUAGUUGGUGAGGUAACGGCUCACCAAGGCAUCGACGGGUAGCUGGUCUGAGAGGACGAUCAGCCACACUGGGACUGAGACACGGCCCAGACUCC